Molecule: ribosomal RNA, 253 nt
Filed under: uncultured bacterium
Lineage: Bacteria
Description: partial 16S ribosomal RNA
Rfam family: Bacterial small subunit ribosomal RNA
Source: RNAcentral
UACAGAGGUCCCAAGCGUUGUUCGGAUUUACUGGGCGUAAAGGGUGCGUAGGUGGCGGGGUAAGUCAGGUGUGAAAUCUCGGGGCUCAACCCCGAAACUGCACUUGAUACUGCCUUGCUCGAGUACUGGAGAGGAGAUUGGAAUUUACGGUGUAGCAGUGAAAUGCGUAGAUAUCGUAAGGAAGACCAGUGGCGAAGGCGAAUCUCUGGACAGUUACUGACACUGAGGCACGAAGGCCAGGGGAGCAAACGGG